UUGCUUGGAACACAAGAAAUCAACAAAAGUUGAUUAUUCACUGAGUAAAUCGAUUGGGAAAUCGAUUUCAUAACAAGGGUGUAAGGAUAAGUAUAUGUUUGUGAUUGUAUAAUCGAUUGGGAAAUCGACUGACUAAAUUAGAAUUGAAAAUUGAACAAGUCAGUGGCAACCUGAUUUACAGGUUAAUCGAUUGACAAAUCGAUUGUACAUAUCACAAAAUGAAAACUGAUUGAAACUAAUCGACUGGCAAAUCGAUUGGGAAGUCACAGGGCACUAGGAAAUCGAUUGACAAAUCGAUUGCCUAAAUAAAAUUUCAAAAGGAACUUAAGCCUUGACUAAAACAAUCGAUUGGACAAUCUAUUGUGUGAGAUUUCAAUCAAGUUAAGUUUGGUUGCAAUCGAUUGGGAAAUCGAUUGAACUAAACANNNNNNNNNNNNNNNNNNNNNNNNNNNNNNNNNNNNNNNNNNNNNNNNAAUCGAUUGGGAAAUCGAUUGAACUAAACACCUGGUAAGAACUUUUCAGAAAACAAAUACCAAAUCGACUAGCACAUCGACUAACAUUAAAAUAGCUGAGUUACUGACUUAACCACAAUUGAUUGGCAAAUCGAUUGAAAGAACUUUUUGAAACACAAUCGAUUGGGGAAUCGAUUGAAACAAUGUUUUGAUAUCUCAGUAACUUCCCAGUUUGUGGCCAAAUCGAUUAUGCGUAUUUGUGAAUCGAUUUAUUCUGAAAAGUGCUUUAAAAGAAUCGAUUGGCAAAUCGAUUACACAUGUUUUAUAACUUUAAUAAAUCGAUUGGUGAAUCGAUUUAGUAGUUGUUUUUCUGAAACUAUAUAAACUGUCUUUCAAUCUUUUUCUCUAAGAACCUCGAUCAUAAUUUUCAUAUUUCUAAGAACUCAAGAUAACUUCAAUAACAAAUCACAAUACACUUUGCUAACAAUCUGAUAUUGCUCUUUCAGAUCAAGAUCAAAAGAUUAUCCAUAAUCAAUGAGAGAGCUGGAAAAGUGAUCUUGAGAGAAAAGACAAAGUUCUCAUGAACAAUCUUUGAAUAUCCAGAUUCGUGAGAAGACACUUUGAUCAAGAUUGAAGACUGCUUUUUGUACUUCUGUUAAUCUGUCUGUAACAAUACUUUGAAACGAAACGAAAGCGAGAAAUCCAGCUAGAAACUGGUGGCUACUUUCUUGGGUGAGAGGUCUCAACAAGAAAGAGUCGCACUGUGAUUCUGUGUUAGAUUGCCGAGUAUCUACAAGGAUCAGAGGGUGAUCAAUAGGAAAGAGAUCAUUAAGAUAGAUAGGUUUCGGGGAUGAAACUGGACAAUCUGUAAUUGAUUCUUUCUAUUGGAGAAGAAAAUCUGAAAUCCGUUUGGAUUUUCAGGACUGGAUGUAGGUUGUCAAGUUGACAACUGAACCAGUAUAAAUUCUUGGUGCAAUCUUCUCUAACCCUUAACUCCUUUAAUUUUCUAUCUUGAUAUAUUUGUAUAUGUGAUUAAUAUUAG
RNAcentral lists this long non-coding RNA (1494 nucleotides) under Cicer arietinum (chickpea). RNAcentral describes it as "long non-coding RNA (CARI_LNC003618)". Lineage: Eukaryota; Viridiplantae; Streptophyta; Magnoliopsida; Fabales; Fabaceae. The record is from RNAcentral.